RNAcentral lists this ribosomal RNA (280 nucleotides) under uncultured prokaryote. RNAcentral describes it as "partial 16S ribosomal RNA". It matches the Rfam family "Bacterial small subunit ribosomal RNA", at positions 524 to 803 of the family's 1533-position model. The record is from RNAcentral.
UACGUAGGGGCUAGCGUUAUCCGGAAUUACUGGGCGUAAAGGGUGCGUAGGUGGUUUCUUAAGUCAGAGGUGAAAGGCUACGGCUCAACCGUAGUAAGCCUUUGAAACUGGGAAACUUGAGUGCAGGAGAGGAGAGUGGAAUUCCUAGUGUAGCGGUGAAAUGCGUAGAUAUUAGGAGGAACACCAGUUGCGAAGGCGGCUCUCUGGACUGUAACUGACACUGAGGCACGAAAGCGUGGGGAGCAAACAGGAUUAGAUACCCCUGUAGUCCCUGAGCGGG